Non-coding RNA from Pelobates cultripes (western spadefoot toad), 202 nucleotides. NCBI's taxonomy places the organism in Eukaryota, Metazoa, Chordata, Amphibia, Anura, Pelobatidae. The record is from the annotation of a GenBank genome assembly.
CCCUCCAAUAUCAGGACACCAACCUGUCGCCCAUAGGUGGUGCAGGUGAGGACCUUAGAUCCUCCACGCUGGUUAUUAUAAAAGCUUUCACCUGCUAACACAGGAUGUCCCCCACCCAGGGCCAGUACAAGCCUAUUUUGCGAUGACGGCAAGACCAGCUACUUUCACCCCCCCCCACCCAUGGAAAAGUCACAGACCACAG